Oxyura jamaicensis (ruddy duck) is the source of this 222-nucleotide long non-coding RNA. RefSeq lists it as uncharacterized. The record is from RefSeq and is a predicted model, not a curated record. The transcript is spliced from 3 exons. Lineage: Eukaryota; Metazoa; Chordata; Aves; Anseriformes; Anatidae.
UCUGAUGAUGAAUAGGAAUGGAAAACCAUUACCAUUUGCACAGCAAAAGGAGAGUACUGGUUGAGUAGAUUCCCCAUUAUGCAGUUAGAUUCUGCAGGUAAAUGUUUUAAUGUGCAAAACUGGAACCAGAAAUGUAUACAGAGGAGAUGCUGUCGAAGCUUGCAGAAGAAACAAAAAAAAAAAAAAACAUAAAAUUUUAUGUUAAAAAUAUUUCUUAUUUUA